CUCGUAGGCGGCUCGUCGCGUCCGGUGUGAAAGUCCAUCGCUUAACGGUGGAUCUGCGCCGGGUACGGGCGGGCUGGAGUGCGGUAGGGGAGACUGGAAUUCCCGGUGUAACGGUGGAAUGUGUAGAUAUCGGGAAGAACACCGAUGGCGAAGGCAGGUCUCUGGGCCGUCACUGACGCUGAGGAGCGAAGCGUGGGAGCGAACA
Molecule: ribosomal RNA, 205 nt
Filed under: uncultured bacterium
Lineage: Bacteria
Description: partial 16S ribosomal RNA
Rfam family: Bacterial small subunit ribosomal RNA
Source: RNAcentral